AGCCCCAGGAGCUCUGAUAUUCUCUGCACACACGCAGAGGCAAGUAACACACACACUUUGUUGCUGCAGAAUGACUCGCGUUGGAGCCUUUUGUGCCAGGAGGAGGGGACCUGGUUUCUGGCUGGAAUCAGAGACUUUCCCAGUGGCUGUCUACGUCCCCGAGCCUUCUUCCCUCUGCAGACUCAUGGCCCAUGGAUCAGCCAUGUGACUCGGGGAGCCUAUCUGGAGGACCAGCUAGCCUGGGAUUGGGGCCCUGAUGGGGAGGAGACUGAGACACAGACUUGUCCCCCACACACAGAGCAUGGUGGCCAGGCUCUACAACAGUGCCUUACAUUGAAGUGUAUCUGGGCCGGGCAGGGGCCAGCUCCCUCCCACAGGGCCACCAGGUAUCCCGCUUGGUCAUCAGCAUCCGGCUGCCCCGGCACCUGGGACUCAGGCCCCCCCUGGCCCUCC
This 453-nucleotide long non-coding RNA is filed under the name Pan troglodytes (chimpanzee). RNAcentral's name for it is "long non-coding RNA NONPTRT006296". The record is from RNAcentral. Lineage: Eukaryota; Metazoa; Chordata; Mammalia; Primates; Hominidae.